Molecule: ribosomal RNA, 500 nt
Filed under: uncultured bacterium
Lineage: Bacteria
Description: partial 16S ribosomal RNA
Rfam family: Bacterial small subunit ribosomal RNA
Source: RNAcentral
GACGAACGCUGGCGGCGUGCUUAACACAUGCAAGUCGAACGGGCCUGUCUUCUUUUUUGGGGGUGGGUUGAGUGGCGAACGGGUGAGUAUCACGUGAGUAACCUGCCCUUCGGUCCUGGAUAACCGCUUGAAAGGGCGGCUAAUACGGGGUGGUCCGGUUGGUCCGCAUGGGCUGGUCGGGAUAGAUUCACUGUUUUUGGUGUUUCGGCGGGGGAUGGGCUCGCGGCCUAUCAGCUUGUUGGUGGGGUGAUGGCCUACCAAGGCGGUGACGGGUAGCCGGCCUGAGAGGGUGGGCGGCUGGACUGGGACGAAGAGACGGCACACAGUGCUGGGGGCGGCAGCCGGGGGGGGAAUUGCAGAAUGGGCGGAAGACUGAUGAAGCGAGGUCGCGUGAGGGAUGGGGGCCUUCGGGUUGUGAACCUCUGUUUCCGGGGGUGAAGGCCCUGUCCGUGUGGUGGGGUUGACGGUAGCCGGGGAUGAAGCGCCGGCUAACUACGGUC